Molecule: ribosomal RNA, 293 nt
Filed under: Hyperpachylus mirabilis
Lineage: Eukaryota; Metazoa; Arthropoda; Arachnida; Opiliones; Gonyleptidae
Description: partial 16S ribosomal RNA
Source: RNAcentral
GCAUAAUAAAUAGUUUUUUAAUUGAGAACUGGAAUGAAAGGUAGAAACUGAAGGGAAAAGUUUUAUUUAAUAAAUUUGAAUUUAAAUUAAAAGUAAAAAUGCUUUUAUAAAUUUUUGGGACGAGAAGACCCUAGAAGCUUAAAAAUUGAAUUUUUUUAUUGGGGCAAUAUUUGAAGAUAAAAAUUUUUGAAAAAUAAAGAGGAUUAUACAAAGUUACUCUAGGGAUAACAGCAUAAUUUAAUUAGCAAGUUCUUAUUAAUAAUUAAGUUUAUGACCUCGAUGUUGAAUUAAAU